RNAcentral lists this non-coding RNA (29 nucleotides) under Homo sapiens (human). The record is from RNAcentral. Lineage: Eukaryota; Metazoa; Chordata; Mammalia; Primates; Hominidae.
AGAACAAACACGGACCAGAAGAGUGUGCA